GCCAUGAAGAGCCCUGGGCUCCUGGGGUCAGACCUUUUGGGUUCCCAAAAGCAUCUUUCUCUGCAGAGCCUUGCAGCUGGUGCUGCGGAUAGCACUUAGCAUCAAACACUUAGGAAAGCUCUCUCACGCAUAUACUUUUUGAAAAAUGGGAGCCAAAUUAGCUUCACUGUGUUCCCUUGCAAUGGGACUCGGUGCACUAAUUGGUUAAAUAUUUACACAAUGCUUUUUAAGUCAAAUAUUGCAUAUGUUCUAAAUUUUUUUUCCCAAGUCGGGCAUUAAAUGAAUACUUUAAAGCCCAUUUUUAGUGUCCCCUAAUGGGGAAAUUAAAAGUGUUUGUAGCUAAUAUAGUCGUAACACUGUGCUGUCAAAGCUCCCAGGCAAUAGAAGGGGAACUCAUUAUCCCAGGUACUGGGUACACAGAGACAGGGAUCUCAAACACAGAAAGGAUCAAAGUUAAACCAAGGCGUAAGAAGAAAAUCAGCAGCUUCUUGAAAGGAAACAAGCAAGUUUGACUCCAAAUGUAAUUUUUAUUUAAAAAAAACACAACCUUUGACUUUCACAUAAGCCAGGAUCCAGAGUGAUUGUUUCAUAGCCUUUAAGAUAUUUCAAACAACCAGUAUUAUUCUCUAGGAAAAAAUGUCCCCUUCUCUCCCAGGCACCCUCUGCAAAUUAAAUCCACAGUCCUGAAAACCUGGAAGUAGUGCCAAGCAUUUUAAUCUUACCAAAAGUAAACAAUGAGCACGAAUUUACAUAAAAAUUGACUUUUAAAAUUGUUUCAACGUUAACAUUGUAAGUGACGCUGGAAGUGUAUUAUGUGACUUUGGGUCCGCUCAAUGUUUUUUAAACGGAUGCUGCCUUUACAACAGGUGCUGGUCAUGUUUCUUUUCAGAUGUUUGUAGGAAAUUAUGUGAGGGGAAAAAAAAAAAAAAAAGCUCUGUUUUAGGAAAAGCCCAAAGGAAAAUGGAAUGAAAAGGAGGAGAUUCUCCGAGGACUGCUGAGUCUGGAAGUCUUCUGGAAGUCUUCCUGGCAGGAUGCUUUCCAGUAGAGUGGGAAGGUUGGGUGCCUGGAGGAUGCUCACGGUGGCAGCUGGGGCCUCCAGAGGCUCAAACUGUUACCUGCUCCCUUUGAGGCUGGCUGCAGAUAUCGAUGAGCACAGCUGCUUGGACACUUUUCAGCUGGGUGUGUUUUAGCAGAGGAGGGAGCACUGCUCGGAGGUCUACGGAGGCAGCAAAGUCUUAGGCAGCCUUGCUCCUCUCCGAGAUGCAUGCUGCCCACAAGGAGUGGGAAGGACGUCUCUAACCGCUGGAUGCUGCCUCCUCCAAAGCACCCAGCAGUGUGUGGCCGUCAGCACGCCGCAUCCUCGCUGCCUGGAGCAGCCCGGCCCGACGGGAACACGGCGCUGGCCAGACUCACUGCCUUUGCUCCAGCACCAAGUCAAAGCCUCCUGAUUUCGCUCUCACUGGAGUUCUGGUACAACCUUUCCCACGGCAUGUAGAAUGGAGAAAUGUCCUCCCUGCUUUUUAGGAGGGGCCCUCCUGGUGCAGCAGAAUAGUCUGUCGUACAAAGGAAACCACCAGCUCCAGAUGAUGGGAGGGAUGUAAAGUUGUUGAUGGAAACCAGCAUGCUGUGACCCUAUGGCCUUCCACUCCUCCGUGAUUUCCAGACUACGAUCAGCAGAGCCAGACCAGUUCUCAUCCCAGUCCAGUUGACCACUGGCAUCAGUAGGUGCUGACUCAGAAAGUUGGGGCUGGAGUGAUGGGAACAGAAGAGGUCACUGCAAGACCAGCGGGUUCAAAGGGCUUAACUCAGCUGCCUGUUCUGGGGGCGAGUUAAUCAGCUAUAACACGUGAGGUCUGCAAGGCACGGUGAUGAGCGGGAGCAUACGGAGGGGGAAGGCCAUAUAGUUACAAGAGCGUUGGUGACAGCACAAAAAUCCUUCUGGCAAUGUGAUUUAUUAGGCUCCGAUGAUGUCUUUCAUGCGAAGUGGCAGAUGCCUCAUCGUACACAACAUCUAAUGCAGGAUGGGAGUGGUUUCUCGGUAGGAACCCGUUCUCUCUCUGCAAGGGAAGCACUGGGCAGGCUGGGCCAAGCUGGCGGCGCUGGUUUUGUGAUUGCUGCAGCUCGCAUCACGCUUGCAGUUGGAAAGGGAGUUUUUAAAAUCAGAUUUUUAUUAGGCGCCUAAUUGACUCAUCAUCCCUGCCCCCGCCCCAUGCACGCACAUUUGCUCUGCCCUGAAAUGUGAGCUAAACGAGGCUGGCGAGAAAUGUUUGCUGAAUAUAGCUGGGGAAAGAGGGGACUGAGGAGAGUGAAGGAGGAGUGAAUUCACGCCAUUUUUUAAAAAUGAAGAUUGUAAAAGACUAAAAAAAAACCAACCAAACCCACAAACCACCAACCCACCCAUACAAAAAAUAACAACAACAAAAAGAAGUUGUGGUUUCUUAAGCCAGUUUGCAUUCCUGGAAGUUGAUGACGCCCUGGAUUACUGUCGGUUUUUUAGACCUCUCUCAAAUUUUUUUAGGAUAGUUUGUCUGUAGUGUGGGUAUGUGUGGGUAGAGAACUGGGGAAUAUGCAGAGGGGAAAAAAAAAAAGCUAAAAAUGGGCAGGAACAGGCUGACUGCAUAGGUUGGAUUUUUUUUCUUAAAAAAAAAAAAAAGCAAGCUCGAAGUUGUUAAAGAUUUGGGUAUGUGGGGGUGGAGCACAGGCAUGGCAAAGGAAGUCGAUCCUGAAGACCGCAUCUAAUACAGGAUGUUUUGUGCUUCAUUAAACACUGUGCCUCUUCGGCUACAGAAGAGCUCUGUCUCAGUUUGCAAAAUAAUCAGUCCAAACUUCUGAUUUCUGUCACUUAGAAGCUGCCUUGCUCCGCAGAGAGGAGAAGAGAUGCAGCCAAGGCCAGUGUGCUGGGAGCAUGACAGUGCGGUGGUCUCGCGAGUCUUGGCGCCACCAGGAAAUUUCUUUCUUGUUGCUGUCCAGCUUUGGUGAGAGAUCUCAUUUCUGCUUUUUUUUUUUUUUCUUAGAAAACAGUCAUCUUCUUCAGGACGUAGGUCUCUUUUCUCCAUGUUAUUCAUGCUUAGGCUGAGCUGAGCCUCACCAGUCUCAGGGUGAGGCUCAGGCACCAGGGAUGCUGCUGCUUCACAGAAAAUCCAAAAAAAUGGAGAGUUAGCUCAGCUGGUCUCUCAGCAGGGCAGAGGGAAGGCGGGGUGUCAGAGGGCCAAGGUCUCCUCCCAUUUACGUGAGUGUGUAACAGCCAGAGCGUGUUCUGGCUAUUCUGUCGAUUUCCUGAUGGUUGCUCUGGAUUUUUAUUGCUUGCACUAAAGGAAGGGUCCGGUCUGUAGUUUGAACAGCUUAGAGGGAACGUAGAGGAAAAAAAAACCAGUUGUUGCAUCAGUGUCUGAAGGAGAAAUAACUCUGCCCUCUCUGCCAGGGUGUGUGAUGGUUUCCUGGGGAGAACGGCUCCGUGCCGGCCGGGGCCUUGGCUCCCGCACCUGGCCGCUGUGCCCUGCCCGGAGGUGGCAGCUGUGAGGUGUGGGUGCUGUCACUGCCAGGUGAAAAACACCCCUUACAUUUUCACUCCCAGCUCCUCUCCACCCUGAAAGCUCUGUAGACAUGCCAAGAUCACAGGUUUUAUUUUUUCCUGUUACCAAAGCAGAGGCUGACGUACCCAGUAAGUGUAUCCAACAGGUCUGUCCUUUGCUCGUUGCUCCUUUCCAAUACAAUGAGGCCUUAUUCGAAAAGUUCAGCUUAGCUCUCUUUUUUUUUUUUUUUUUUUUUCCCCUCAGCUGGAAGCUUCCUUUUAAAACAUUAAUAUCCAUAUUAAUUUUUUUUUUCCCCCUAGCAGGUUAAUUAAUACUUGAUUCAUCACCUCAAAAGCUAAUGGAUAUUUAUCCAGAUCAUGAAGGAAAUGAAUGCCUUCUAUAAAUAACUGCCGCAACCCUCGCUAGCGCUCACUGACAACCCAUCUUUAUGCUCCUUCGGGAAACAAACUCUGCUCAGCUCUAGAGGAGCUAAUCCUAACCUUUUCCCAGGUUUUGCACUGGCCUGGCUCAAUGUUUUCCUACUUGAGCUUUACUUUACAAACAUGGUGCCUUUUUUUCUGAGGGAAAAGGGCAGCGUUUGUGGAGAGAGACUCAGACAGCGUGGUGUAAUCGCUCCAGCCUGGCCAGCAAAGGCCAUUUGAGACUUUGGGUGUUUUCGUGGGCUGGGAGGUCUCUGGCCCUCUUCAAAACGUUGUUUAGUUUUGGCUAUUGAAAAAAAAAAAAUAUUGGAGAGCCUUUUCCGAGUUCCCAUCUGCUUCAAAUAAAUGGUGUUUAUUGUCUUUGUCUCUAGCUCUCCAGCUAUUGUCAUCAGUGACCUUAAUUAGGAGCAUAUUAAAAAUCAUGUCUAGUUUGUUGCUCACACGUGAAAAAUUAAAAACUAAUUAUUUACUUUUACUGUUAACUUGCACAUUCCUCCUGGGUUCUGCUCUGCAUCUGAGAGCAUCUGACUGCUCGCUGGAGAAGAACAUCCUUGUUGUCCAUACAGCCUGCAAGGGCAGAAAUAAUUGGAUGGGUACCAGGAAGCUGGACAAGGGGACUGAGGGGCACAGAGCUCUGUGUGGGUGCGGGAAGCCAACCAAAGCACAACCUGUUUUAAAGUUGUUCCUUGGCUUUUCCCACAACCCUGCCCAUUGCUCGCUGCUGCCUGUGGUGGGUCUACACCAGGUCUCAUGUCCUGCAUCUCUUACCAGUCAAAAGCUGCUCUCAUGUCUCCAAAGGGGCUGGGGGCUGCCAAGAGCUCUACGUGUUCAUCCAGACCAAGGCUGGAAAAUAUGGAUGAUGUCAUUCCUAGGCUUCUGACCUCACUGCAGUAAAACCCAGUGAACAGCUUGCCUCGGGUUCUGCAGGGAGGACUUUUUGUCACUUCGGCAAUGACACUUGUUUUGAGGCAGGGGACAUUGGCUCAUGCAUUUUUAAUUCUUGAGCUUGGCAGCACUGGAUGAAUUAGAAACAGAAAAACUGAUUUUAAUGAGUGUAAGAUUAAUGCAGAUGAGUUUGGCUGAAACCGCAAUCCAGCUGAGGAGGGAGGAUUUUCUCACUUCACCUACCAGCUCUCUCCUCGGUGGGCUGUUACGUUGCAAGCAUUACUGUAGCAGAGCAAAUUCUCAUCACUCGUCAUUACCUGGAAGAGAGAUGCUCGUUAAACAGCUUGGUUCAUACAGAAAAUCUUGCACGUUAACCCUUGGUGGCUGCCCUGGACCCUCGACGGCCUUG
This is a long non-coding RNA of Athene cunicularia (burrowing owl), 5246 nucleotides long. RefSeq lists it as uncharacterized. Lineage: Eukaryota; Metazoa; Chordata; Aves; Strigiformes; Strigidae. The transcript is spliced from 6 exons. The record is from RefSeq and is a predicted model, not a curated record.